CACAGUGGAGGGGCGGGGGUCGACUCAGAUCUGCGCAUUUUCGGACACCGGUGGUCUUGUGGUCUUCAGACUUGAGAGCACCUCGGACCUGGCCGGUUUUGAGGUCUCCGCGGCAUCGCGGCACCUCGGCUCCUGGCUGUAGAAGGGACUCACGUGACGGAAUCCACGGUUGCAAAGCCAGGCGGGCACUGGGAGGGGGUGCUCCGUGCGGGGUUCGCUCCAUCCGAUGUCUCCUUAGGAGGGUCAGGGUUUCUGUCUGGUCCGAGGUAGGGGCCACAGGCUGGCUGGGUUUCACUGCUUCUCUGAUCUCCAGCAGCUCAGCCUCGUCUGAGCCCACGAUCCACAGGGAGCUACUCUCGGACACAGUAGUGACAGCAUUGGCCCCGAAGAGCUGGGGACUAGCUCUCCCUCGCAGGGUCGCCCCUUUUUGCUGACAGUGGAUUUGUUUCUGAUGUUUAACUUGGAGUUUCUCUGCCUACCCAGAGCCCUGAACACCACUUGGGUGCUCAGACCUCCUGUGAGUGAGGAAAGUCUCUUCUGACACCGCCCCCACCCCAACUCCUGCGGACCCUACAUCCAGCCGAGGGUAGGCGCUGAGCUAUGAGGGCAGUUAAGGAAGGCUAUGAAAUAACUGUUAUUUCAAAAGUCUACAGUGUCCGUCUUUACAGUAGCCCUGGGGGAAUACCGGGUCCCAUCCGCGGCCAGAGACUUCUGGACAUGUCAGUCAGCAGGGACCGGGACCUCGGAGGGCGAACAUGGUGCCUGAUGACCUGGCGCUUUCUUGUCAGGACAGAGAGUAACAUUCGUUUGGUAGAGACUUACAGGAACACCGUUACCUGACCUCAAGAACAAAGGAUGUGAUGCCGAGAAGUCUGCAUCAACCAACCAGGCUCCUCCCUCACCUUUCCUAGGAAAGGGCUUUGCCGAGAGCUUUUGAGGAGUUUGGGGCUUUUAAGGCAUAAGCCACCUAUCUCCUCACAUGGCUCUGCAAUAAACCUUCCUCUGUUCCAAACUCUUGACAUUUUGGGAUUAUUUGCCUCAUUGUGUGUUGAGGGCAUGGACUUGUGUUUUGGUAACAGUAGGAGGUGCUAAAGGCCUGAGCCCAGGACCUAUGUCUGCCCCUCGCCCACGGGGAUAGGGUUUUUUUUUUUCUGCUGCUGCUUCCUCCUGCGACACGUGGUAGGUAUUACCCGUGAUCUGGGUGCAACAAAACGGUUUUGCUAACCCUUCCUCCAGCAACAUAGGACUUCUGUUCCUCAAGAGAGAGGUUUCUGGAAGGAUGGGACUUCCUGGUUCCCACUGCCCUCCUCUGGCUCAGGGGAGUCUCUGUGUGAUCUCCAGCCCCGCCCUGUGUUCCUCUUCUCUAUCUGUAUCACAGAUCACCACCAAUUCAGUGAUUUAGAGCAGCUCACAGUUCUGAGGCCACGUGACCCAAUGGAGUGGCCACGCACUCUGCUCGGGUUUCCAAAACAAAAUCAAAAUGCUGGACAGGCUGGCCUCUUCUCCGGGGCUUCCAGGGACAGUUCACUCCUGGUGUUCAGAGUCAGGGGAAGUGGGUUUCUGGUGGUUUGGGCCAGAGGCCCCUGCCCCGCUGCCCGCUCUGGGCUGAGGUCCUCCCUCAGCAUCUUCUCACACUCACACUCAGCUCCAAAGCCAGAAAUGAUGGACGGGCUCCUUCUGGGGUCCUCCCUCUUCACGUCUCUCUUCUUCUGCCCCCAUCCAUUUCCAGCUCAGAGAUGAAGUGUCCUGCCGAUGUUUUUACGUGAGUCUCACCACGUCAUCUGUUUAUUUCCAGGUUUUCUUAGUGUCUUUGCAAAGGCUUAGCAUCAGACUGUAGCCAAAGCGGCUUGGUCCUGUCUGCACAGUCAAACUUGUUUCUACACUCUCCCCUAGAGAGCCUUGGAGGCCUGAGCCAAGCCUCCAGCGGACGGUGUCUGCUUCUCCCAGACCAGCAAGGAAGGACCAUGUGCCAGGUGAGCAUGGCACUUCUGUGCUUUUCGUUUUACCAUGGAUUUCAGGAUGCUUAAAAGAAUGCUUAAAAGAAUUCGUCCAGUGAAAAACAAUGCCAACAGAAAUCAGGGCCAGUGAAAACAGGAGGAGAAUGGAAGAUCAAAGCCAUGGGGAGGGCAUACUACAUAGGCUGCUGGAGUUAUUAGCUGCCCUCUAAACUUGGGUCUGACAUGUCUGUCACUUUAAAAAGACAGAUUCCAAAUAAAUAAAUAAAUAAAAAUAAAAAGACAGAUUCUGUCCAAUACAUAACUUGUGUUGUCUGGAAC
Molecule: non-coding RNA, 2276 nt
Organism: Odocoileus virginianus texanus
Lineage: Eukaryota; Metazoa; Chordata; Mammalia; Artiodactyla; Cervidae
Source: RefSeq, a predicted model, not a curated record